UACGGAGGAUCCCGAGCGUUAUCCGGAUUUAUUGGGUUUAAAGGGUGCGUAGGCGGGUUAUUAAGUCAGUGGUGAAAGUUUGACGCUCAACGUUAAAAUUGCCAUUGAUACUGAUAGUCUUGAGUACAGUUGAGGUAGGCGGAAUGUGGUGUGUAGCGGUGAAAUGCAUAGAUAUCCCACAGAACACCGAUUGCGAAGGCAGCUUACUAAAGUGUCACUGACGCUGAUGCACGAAAGUGUGGGGAUCAAACAGGAUUAGAUACCCUUGUAGU
This 272-nucleotide ribosomal RNA is filed under the name uncultured bacterium. RNAcentral describes it as "partial 16S ribosomal RNA". It matches the Rfam family "Bacterial small subunit ribosomal RNA", at positions 524 to 794 of the family's 1533-position model. The record is from RNAcentral.